Molecule: long non-coding RNA, 685 nt
Filed under: Homo sapiens (human)
Lineage: Eukaryota; Metazoa; Chordata; Mammalia; Primates; Hominidae
Description: non-protein coding lnc-SSBP2-5:3
Source: RNAcentral
CAAGAGUAACAGCAGCGCCGUCCCGUCCGACAGCCAGGCCCGGGAGAAGUUAGCACUCUACGUAUAUGAAUAUCUGCUCCAUGUAGGAGCUCAGAAAUCAGCUCAAACAUUUUUAUCAGAGAUAAGAUGGGAAAAAAACAUCACAUUGGGGGAACCACCAGGAUUCUUACAUUCUUGGUGGUGUGUAUUUUGGGAUCUCUACUGUGCAGCUCCAGAGAGACGUGAAACAUGUGAACACUCAAGUGAAGCAAAAGCCUUCCAUGAUUACGUAAGUUAACAUAUAAUUUUACAAAGUUACACUGUCAGUUUUCUGUUUAACCACUGCUCUUAAAAAAUACACUGGCUCAUCUAUUCUUUUGUUUUGGUACUUAAGAAAUUGUUUGGUCUCUUUUUUCUUGAAAAGUAGGUUCAUAACUUUAAAUGUGAAAUAGAAAGGGGCAUUUGAGUCUUGUUAAAGCUUAGGAUAAAGCGUAGGCCUAAUUCUAAGCUAUUAAAGAAAUUUCUUAUCUUUAAGCAUGUCUGAUUUGUGAAAUUUCAGAUUUUAUGAAAAUUAAAUAUAUAGUAAUUUUUUUAUUCUACAAAAACAUUCAUUAUAAGAUUUCUGUAAAUGAUAAAUUUCUCCCUUGCACAUAAGAUUUUUGAUUAAAUAUAGAAAUACUCUAUUCUUCUCCUUUUAUAACUUUUG